Molecule: long non-coding RNA, 375 nt
Filed under: Eutrema salsugineum
Lineage: Eukaryota; Viridiplantae; Streptophyta; Magnoliopsida; Brassicales; Brassicaceae
Description: long non-coding RNA (ESAL_LNC001841)
Source: RNAcentral
CAUCUUAACAAAACAACCUAAAGAAUUAGAUUCUUCUUCUUCCUCUUCGUACUCAUGCCAACUUUUGUGGACUGUGGUUGAAGCUUGCUUCAGCUUCUCCUCCAUUACCGCUUAUCUUAGAAGUACUAACAUUUGAAACUUGAAGCUGUGAUUUCGAUCCUCAGAUUUCCAGAUUGCUACGAUUGUGUCCCAAGGAAACCCACUCUUCCAGCACUCCACAAUACACAGCUUCAGCAUAUGUUUCAGAAACGCCACAACUAAUUGAGCAAUUCACAAACAACUUGAUCGGCACAGAGUCAUCCAUCGAUUUUAGAAUCAAAAUCAUUCUGAGGUUGAGGAAACUCUGAUCAAUAGGCGAUUAGGGAUCAUAGAGAG